RNAcentral lists this ribosomal RNA (208 nucleotides) under uncultured bacterium. Its description in RNAcentral is "partial 16S ribosomal RNA". It matches the Rfam family "Bacterial small subunit ribosomal RNA", at positions 568 to 774 of the family's 1533-position model. The record is from RNAcentral.
CGCGUAGGCGGCCACCGCAAGUCAGUUGUGAAAACUCGAGGCUCAACCUCGAGACGCCGGUGGAAACUGCAAAGCUAGAGUCCGGAAGAGGAGAGUGGAAUUCCUGGUGUAGCGGUGAAAUGCGCAGAUAUCAGGAGGAACACCGAUAGCGAAGGCAGCUCGCUGGGACGGUACUGACGCUGAGACGCGAAAGCGUGGGGAGCGAACA